ACGGGAGGCAGCAGUGGGGAAUAUUGCACAAUGGGCGAAAGCCUGAUGCAGCGACGCCGCGUGAGCGAAGAAGUAUUUCGGUAUGUAAAGCUCUAUCAGCAGGGAAGAAAAUGACGGUACCUGACUAAGAAGCCCCGGCUAACUACGUGCCAGCAGCCGCGGUAAUACGUAGGGGGCAAGCGUUAUCCGGAUUUACUGGGUGUAAAGGGAGCGUAGACGGACAAGCAAGUCAGAUGUGAAAUGCGGGGGCUCAACUCCUGAACUGCAUUUGAAACUGUUUGUCUAGAGUGCCGGAGAGGUAAGCGGAAUUCCUAGUGUAGCGGUGAAAUGCGUAGAUAUUAGGAGGAACACCAGUGGCGAAGGCGGCUUACUGGACGGUAACUGACGUUGAGGCUCGAAAGCGUGGGGAGCAAACAGGAUUAGAUACCCUGGUA
This 434-nucleotide ribosomal RNA is filed under the name uncultured Lachnospiraceae bacterium. Its description in RNAcentral is "bacterial SSU rRNA". It matches the Rfam family "Bacterial small subunit ribosomal RNA", at positions 341 to 792 of the family's 1533-position model. Lineage: Bacteria; Bacillati; Bacillota; Clostridia; Lachnospirales; Lachnospiraceae. The record is from RNAcentral.